Molecule: unclassified non-coding RNA, 342 nt
Filed under: Trechispora sp.
Lineage: Eukaryota; Fungi; Basidiomycota; Agaricomycetes; Trechisporales; Hydnodontaceae
Description: partial contains 5.8S ribosomal RNA, internal transcribed spacer 2, and large subunit ribosomal RNA
Rfam family: 5.8S ribosomal RNA (bases 1-71)
Source: RNAcentral
GUGAGUCAUCGAAUCUUUGAACGCACCUUGCGCUCCUUGGUAUUCCGAGGAGCAUGCCUGUUUGAGUGUCUUGAAGUCAUCAACCCCUCCCGUUUCGUGCGGUGUGGUGCGUUGGAUAUGGGGGCCUGCGGUCGAGAGACCGCUCCCCUCAAAUGCUUCGGUUGGGCCUGCGGGUCGAACUCGGUUGGGCGUUGUAACAACCUCGCUCUCUGCCGAGAUGUUCCCCUGUCUUUCGUGCCCUUCCACGACCGCCUUGCGAGCGGCGGUCAAAACAACUUUGAAAUCUGACCUCAAAUCAGGUAGGACUACCCGCUGAACUUAAGCAUAUCAAUAAGCGGAGGA